GUGUUCCGCGCUCGCGUAGUCUCUAACGAUUCUUCCGCGUAGCCCUCAAUGAUUCCCCCGCCCCACGUUCCGCGCUCGCGUAGCUUCUAACGAUUCUUACGCGUACCCCUUAAUGUUCUUCCGCUCCGCGCUCCACUGUGGAGCGGCUUCUGAUAUUCUUCCGCCCCGAACUUUCCCCUAUAAGAACCCCCUUCGUACGACCUUUUCUUCUGAUUUCUUUUCUCUUUCUUUCCUUAAUCAAUUCGUAAUCUGUAAUUAGGAUAGUACCAAAUCGUUAAUCGAAGUACGCCCGUUACAGUAUGCUGAUUCAGUUGACAUACUCUCAGCUGCAGAUAUGCACUUUUUUUCUCUCUUCUCACUGCUCUUUCUAUUUUUCUUCACUUCUUUUCUCUUAUAAUCUUCUUCAGUGCUCUCUUCUCUCUCUCUUCUCAGAUUUGUGCUGGGUCACAUAACUGCAAGAUGUCACAGAGAACACAGUCUUUUCUUCACUCUUUUCUUUAUUUUUCUUUUCAAAACACUUACUUUUCCUCUUUUUUUUUGUCUAUCUCAUUUGUUUUUUCUCUGCUGUUAGAAGCACAGACAGUUCUUGAAUCAACUGAGAAAGUUAUUCCUCUCCAUUCACUGUAA
This 627-nucleotide small RNA is filed under the name Histoplasma ohiense. RNAcentral describes it as "hypothetical lncRNA". The record is from RNAcentral. Lineage: Eukaryota; Fungi; Ascomycota; Eurotiomycetes; Onygenales; Ajellomycetaceae.